UACAGAGGGGGCAAGCGUUAUUCGGAAUUAUUGGGCGUAAAGGGCGCGUAGGCGGCUUGGCAAGUGGAAGGUGAAAUCCCUCGGCUUAACCGAGGAACUGCCUUCCAGACUGCUUUGCUUGAGGCCGGGAGAGGUGAGUGGAAUUCCCAGUGUAGCGGUGAAAUGCGUAGAUAUUGGGGGGAACACCAGUGGCGAAGGCGGCUCACUGGACCGGUUCUGACGCUGAGGCGCGAAAGCGUGGGGAGCAAACGGG
Molecule: ribosomal RNA, 253 nt
Filed under: uncultured bacterium
Lineage: Bacteria
Description: partial 16S ribosomal RNA
Rfam family: Bacterial small subunit ribosomal RNA
Source: RNAcentral